Molecule: ribosomal RNA, 252 nt
Filed under: uncultured bacterium
Lineage: Bacteria
Description: partial 16S ribosomal RNA
Rfam family: Bacterial small subunit ribosomal RNA
Source: RNAcentral
ACGUACCGGACAAACGUUAUUCGGAAUCACUGGGCUUAAAGAGUACGUAGGCGGCUUUGUAGGUGAGAUGUGAAAUCCCACGGCUCAACCGUGGAACUGCGUUUCAAACCACAAAGCUUGAGGGAGACAGGGGUGAGCGGAACUGAUGGUGGAGCGGUGAAAUGCGUUGAUAUCAUCAGGAACACCGGUGGCGAAGGCGGCUCACUGGGUCUUUUCUGACGCUGAGGUACGAAAGCUAGGGUAGCGAACGGG